Molecule: long non-coding RNA, 630 nt
Filed under: Salmo salar (Atlantic salmon)
Lineage: Eukaryota; Metazoa; Chordata; Actinopteri; Salmoniformes; Salmonidae
Description: lncRNA (ENSSSAG00000102320.1)
Source: RNAcentral
GGCACAUCCAUUGUCCAGGGAGAGGACCUGUUGGGUGAUAAAAGCCCUGCUCCAAGGCUGCCUCCAAGCUUGUCACACAUUUUGGACAAUGACCAUAAGCACCCAGAGGAGACGAUAGUUGCGAGGGAAGCAGCUGUUUCCGUGUCCACUGUCCUCCAAGAGGAGUUUUUGGCUUGUAAAAGUCCUCCUGCACCCGCAGCACUGCCUCUAAGGCUGCCCUGUACCCACUGCAUUGACCACAAACAGCAAGAGGAGACAGUUGAGGACAACACAGAGCGCUUAGUUGACACAGAGGAAAGUGCAGUUUCAUCCACUGUCAAGAGAGAGGAACUGACAGGUGAUGCAAACCCUGUCCUACCACUUCCUCCAAGCCUGGCAUGCAUCCAUGACAAAGACCACAACGAGCCAGAUCAGAAAGGGAGGGGCACUACUAAGGAGGUGUAUCUCUGCCCUCACGCUCACCAGCUGGACCCAGAUGCUAACUUAACUCUGUCAACCCACAAUGAUGAACCCAGGACCUGGACCUUGGAAGAGACAAAGGAUUAUAGGAUAGGCAUUGACAUUGAGAGUGAAGAGAGGAGCGUCCAGGAGGAGGUGAGACCGAGGGAGGGGUUGAAGUGUGAUGCGGAC